RNAcentral lists this ribosomal RNA (580 nucleotides) under Serratia rubidaea. Its description in RNAcentral is "partial 23S ribosomal RNA". It matches the Rfam family "Bacterial large subunit ribosomal RNA", at positions 1137 to 1715 of the family's 2925-position model. Lineage: Bacteria; Pseudomonadati; Pseudomonadota; Gammaproteobacteria; Enterobacterales; Yersiniaceae. The record is from RNAcentral.
AUAGCUCACUGGUCGAGUCGGCCUGCGCGGAAGAUGUAACGGGGCUAAACCAUGCACCGAAGCUGCGGCAGCGACGCUUAUGCGUUGUUGGGUAGGGGAGCGUUCUGUAAGCCGUUGAAGGUGGCCUGCGAGGGUUGCUGGAGGUAUCAGAAGUGCGAAUGCUGACAUAAGUAACGAUAAAGCGGGUGAAAAACCCGCUCGCCGGAAGACCAAGGGUUCCUGUCCAACGUUAAUCGGGGCAGGGUGAGUCGACCCCUAAGGCGAGGCUGAAAAGCGUAGUCGAUGGGAAACAGGUUAAUAUUCCUGUACUUGGUGUUACUGCGAAGGGGGGACGGAGAAGGCUAGGCUAGCCGAGCGACGGUUGUCUCGGUUUAAGCGUGUAGGGGGGUGUUCCUGGUAAAUCCGGAACGCUGUUAACCCUGAGGCGUGAUGACGAUGCACUACGGUGCAGAAGUAGUUGAUGCCAAGCUUCCAGGAAAAGCCUCUAAGCUCCAGGUAACAUCAAAUCGUACCCCAAACCGACACAGGUGGUCAGGUAGAGAAUACCAAGGCGCUUGAGAGAACUCGGGUGAAGGAACUA